UUAAAAUUGGAAUGUGACACGGUU
RNAcentral lists this non-coding RNA (24 nucleotides) under Cricetulus griseus (Chinese hamster). Lineage: Eukaryota; Metazoa; Chordata; Mammalia; Rodentia; Cricetidae. The record is from RNAcentral.